CAGUCGCCGCGGUAAUACAGAGGGUGCGAGCGUUAAUCGGAUUUACUGGGCGUAAAGCGUGUGUAGGUUGUUGUUCAAGUCAGUUGUGAAAUCCCUGGGCUCAACCUGGGAACUGCUUCUGAGACUGAACGACUAGAGUACGGUAGAGGGUGGUGGAAUUUCCGGUGUAGCGGUGAAAUGCGUAGAUAUCGGAAGGAACAUCAAUGGCGAAGGCAGCCACCUGGGCCUGUACUGACACUGAGACACGAAAGCGUGGGGAUCAAACAGGAUUAGAUACCCCGGUAGUUCCUGUCUCUUAUAC
This 301-nucleotide ribosomal RNA is filed under the name uncultured bacterium. RNAcentral describes it as "partial 16S ribosomal RNA". It matches the Rfam family "Bacterial small subunit ribosomal RNA", at positions 509 to 807 of the family's 1533-position model. The record is from RNAcentral.